RNAcentral lists this ribosomal RNA (468 nucleotides) under uncultured bacterium. Its description in RNAcentral is "partial 16S ribosomal RNA". It matches the Rfam family "Bacterial small subunit ribosomal RNA", at positions 28 to 507 of the family's 1533-position model. The record is from RNAcentral.
GACGAACGCUGGCGGCGUGCUUAACACAUGCAAGUCGAACGGAAAGGCCCUGCUUUUGUGGGGUGCUCGAGUGGCGAACGGGUGAGUAACACGUGAGUAACCUGCCCUUGACUUUGGGAUAACUUCAGGAAACUGGGGCUAAUACCGGAUAGGAGCUCCUGCUGCAUGGUGGGGGUUGGAAAGUUUCGGCGGUUGGGGAUGGACUCGCGGCUUAUCAGCUUGUUGGUGGGGUAGUGGCUUACCAAGGCUUUGACGGGUAGCCGGCCUGAGAGGGUGACCGGCCACAUUGGGACUGAGAUACGGCCCAGACUCCUACGGGAGGCAGCAAUGGGGAAUAUUGCACAAUGGGCGGAAGCCUGAUGCAGCAACGCCGCGUGCGGGAUGACGGCCUUCGGGUUGGAAACCGCUUUCGCCUGUGACGAAGCGUGAGUGACGGUAAUGGGUAAAGAAGCACCGGCUAACUACGUG